CAGUGGCAAGCCUCUCGGGAACUCAAAUUCUGACCAUUGGGAUCAGUGGUUCCCCUCUGGCUAGGGCUGGUUUAAAUACUCCCUCUGUAGGCAGGUGUCAGCUGAGUGCGGUCCGGUUUUCCUUUCUGCUAUAACAGGAAAGCACACUGAGUUCAAUGCCUCACAAUUGCUGGCUCUCCCUCUCUCCAAAGCACAGAAAUGCUCUUUGCACCACACCAUCACUGCCAGGGGAUGGAGGAGGGGUUGCACUGGUGAUUCAAGACUGUCCUACUUCUUCAGUGCCUCCUUCAGUGAUAUGAAGCCAAAACCAGACCAGGAAACUUUUUCAGCUUUGUGACUGAGAGACAGCCAGCCUUUCAGCUGGGUGAGCUUUCCAGUUGCAUGAGAAAGAGCUUCAUAAGAAACCACCUACACUCUUCCCAUCCAAAAAAAUAGAAAAAAAGAAAGAGAAGAAUAUAAAAAGAAUUGCUUCUCCUCCAAAAAUACAGCUCCUAGGUGCUGCUGAAAUGAGUGAGCAGGGUAAUUGAUGAGAGUUUGGGAGCUGGGAGAGCAGUGAGCUGAUGCUUGGAGCCUUGCCGCGAUCGGACACAGUAGGUUGAUUUUCCCCUCAACAUGCAGGACCAUACCUAACGAUUCCUUACAACAAAACAGAAUACAAAGUAAAGAGGAUUUGACACACAGCAAUUCCUACCAUCCUCUUGGCCCCCCAGCCCGGGAUAUUGAAGCCAAAGUUGAAUUUGAAAAGCACAUUUUCCCAAACUCCUAUUUUAAAAGCAGACACUAUCUUAAUGGCACAGUGAUAACAAUUAUAUUCAGUUAUUUUUUCUUCGAUCCUGCCAAAGAGAUGCUUGGGAAAAGCAAAGAUUUUUAACAUCUGGCUUGCCUGAACAGAAUUCGUACUUCAGUGAAGAAUGCUACAUUAUGAAGACUUCUCUUUCAAUUCUUUUAGUUUCUGGAUAUCAAUGAAGAUAUCACCACUAAUGAAAGUGGUAAAUCUGGGGAAGAUUACUCAGAGUGGCAAGAUUGCAACAUUUUUCCCAGGGAUUUUUAGGGACCCUCUCAACUAAACAAAUAGCAGUAAAGAAGAAUCACAUUUUAAAAUAUCCUUCUAAUGUACUCCAUUUUAAAUAUAUACACCUACUGUGUACCCAUGAAAAUUUUAAAAAAAAUUUUAAGUAUCCUUCCAGAGGUUUUGUGGAAAGGUGGGGUUUUAUUUUCUAAUAUCACAAAUAUUACUUGUUGAUUCAAGCCAGUCAUCUAGCCAGUUAUAGCAACUUCUCAAAGCUAUUUUAGGAAGAAAUUUUUGCUUCUUGUCAUCUUCCCACCAAAGAUAAGUUCUGGAGAAGUUCAUACGCUAUUAACUAUGACAAUAACUGAGACCUCAAUUUACAUUUUUCUCCUUGCUCCAAACUCAUUCCUGGGUCACCAGAAUAGACAUAGAUAUGAAUGUGUAGGCUCCAUGAGGACCACACCAGGCAGGAUACAAAAACACUGGAGUGUAUCAGGAGAAGUGAUUUGCCCUCCUCCUACCUGCCAAAGGUGGUGAUUUAGAAGUGAUUUAGGAGUAAGACUGGGGAGACUUCUUGAAGACAUCUUGGGAUAUUAGAGUCAUUCUAUUCACACCCUCGCUCCUUGAGAAAGGGGAUCAUUUGCCAUGGUCCCUCAUAGAGAGGAUCCCUAGAGACAAUCCCGCAAAGCUCAAGGGUACAUCUGAACAUAGGGACUGGCCCCAGUUUCUCGUUUGGAGUGUGCCAAGUGACAGAACCCAUUGGCACAUGCCAAGCCCCACGCAAAGGCCACCAGAGAGCUUUGGACAUAGGCAGAGGGCCUCAGAAAGGGGGGCAGAACAAGUCAGGAGAGGGCACAAAUCACCUCCCAGUUCUUCAAACACCCAAGGUGGUUGUAAUAGGGAGUCUAAGAUUCUUGGGGCCCGAGAGGCCCCAUAAGAUGGCUGACUGGCUGGUUGAAUUCUAAGCAAACUUCCGUUCCCUGGACACACAGGAAGCAAAGGGACUCAGUAGUAAUAUUAGUCUCAGGCUAAAGGGUCCCCUGUCCUGGACCCCAUGCUUUACAGGGUCCUGCCUUUGCCAACAAAUACAUUUACUAAAGAACACGCAUUGCUGCCAUUCUGGGUCUGAGAUCAGAGCUCAGAGCUGGCACAGACCAACCUAAAACUCUAAAUAUUUGCUCUCCCAGCUGACAUUAUGCAGGCCCCAGGGAAAUCUCCACUUGCAUUAGAUCCUGUAAAUAAAAGAUGUUAUAUGCAAAACUCUGAAGGUUUAUGGGCUGUGCUGCUACAGAGGCUGCUUUGGAGUGUGAAGAGGAUAGCAGUAUUGUUCAUAUUAUGCUUAAAUAUGUAUAUAUGUAGGUUUAGUUAUAUGCCUGAAGCAUAAUUCCUGUUCUUUACUAUGGCAAUUUGAUGGACAUUAAAUCCUAGAAUUGCAAAUAGUUUUUUUUUUAUAAAAUAGGCUUUUUAAUUUUAAUAAAUCUUGAAUAUUUGACAUGAAAUCUUAAUUAUUCAGAAAUGUAGGAAAAGUAAAUUUAUUUAUAUUUGUUUACUCCAAUUUAAAUUUUCUUAAUGCAUUCAAAUUGCAUAUAU
RNAcentral lists this long non-coding RNA (2599 nucleotides) under Homo sapiens (human). RNAcentral describes it as "HSALNT0326025". Lineage: Eukaryota; Metazoa; Chordata; Mammalia; Primates; Hominidae. The record is from RNAcentral.